GAGACUGACUACCAUACUGGAGAUGCUAGGUGUUGGUGCUCAAGUCAGCAGUCUUAGCUGAACCCAGACUUUGAGCCAAGCCCAUCAGAACAUGAGCCAUUUAUUUUCUUACAGGCCAACAGAUAGAAGAAAGGAGUAUGGAGAACAUGUACCACUAUGUUUUGUCUGAGUCAGGGUGACAUAUGGCUUCUGCUCACGUUCCAGUUGGAAGACACUUAAUUACGUGGUCUCCACCUGCAUAAAAAGAAGUCUGGAAAAUGUAGUCUUUCUGUGUAUCCAGGGAGAGAAAAUCGCGUGGCAAACACAUGUUGUCUCUCUUACAGAGACUGUAUUGGUUAGCUCUUGAUGAGAAACAACCCAAAAUGUAAAAUAUUCAUGUAUUUUUUUUCUUUAAAUUAUUUGAGUCAGCUAAGCAAUUAUUUGAGUCAGGUCUGUGUUGCAUCAUCUGGGAUUCGAUGGUCUAGAUUAGUAGUUUUCAAAUGAGCCAAUUUAUAUACCUACUUCCAACACCACCAGGGGACAUUUGGCAAUGUCUGGACACACUUUUGCUUGUCAUAACUGGGGGAUUUUAUUGGCAUCUGGUGUAUAAAGGCCAGGGAUUCUGCUAGUCACUCUACAAUGCACAGGACAAGAUUCUGAAGAAAAAAAACACUUCAGGCCCAAAAUAUUAAUAGCAGGGAGGUAGAGAAACUCUAGUAUAGGAUGACCUAACUCAGAUGUCAUAGGCUGUUCAUGCUAAGGAGGACUCAGCUGAGAGGGAUGGACUUUCUUCCAUGGGGCUUCCAUCUUCCAGUAUGAGGACAAAGGCUUCUUUACAUCACAGUCUCAACAUUAUAAGGAGCAGCAAGAAAGAGAAGUUCUAAUAUAUCACAGAUGAAGAAAUGGCAAUAACAACUCUUUAUUUUUAGCUUGUGAUGAUGUGAGUGCUGAGCCAUCAUUCUCAUUCAAGUCUCUUGUGAUUGAAAAAGACUAAAAGGCACCUAUAGGCACCAUGAACCAUCUGAAAGCCAUACACGUGGAUGGGAAUUCGAUGUGUACUCUGUUAUGUUGGAGGACAGAAUAGAUCUGUUGGGUGAGAGUUAUUAGGAGUUUCAGUUUUACUAAAUGUAAGGACAAACUUGAUAACAAUCAGGGCAUCAAACAAUGGAUGUGCUGCUCUAGCAUCUUAAGUUGGUUUCCAAGAAGCAGCUCCUGAUUUGAUGAAGUACAUGUAAGUGGAGAAUGGAGAAACAGAAAGUAAAAUGAAGACAGAAAGAGACCAAGGAAAUCCGUCAUAUCAAGUAUGCAAUAUCAACCUUUGGAGGGUGACUUGGGCUCCAUCCCAGAAGGGAGCCUUGGAAACAGUGAAAACAGUGAUAGUCACUCUCAGAGUUUCUGAAUCAGAGCAAGAGGACUGGGGUAUUUAUACUCCUGCCCUCAUCACUGGUUAAGUCAUGAGGAGGAGUUGGUAUACAUUCACAGAUACUUCUGGUUCUAUGCGUUGUUAUGUAUGCAGGUAAUGAGGGUCCUGGUAGUCUGAGGGCAGCCCUCUAAUUGCUACUGUUGGGAGCAGAGGCACACCAGAAGCUGGUAGACAGAAAAAAAGUAGUGAAAGUGGUUUGCACGAAUAUCCUUGCAGCUCUGAAAUCACCAGCUCUGCUUUGUCUGUUGUUAUAUUUCAUUUCUGGAGAGAUCCAGGCAGAAGCUGCCAACUUCAACACCUAUUUUGACACUGAGA
This 1717-nucleotide long non-coding RNA is filed under the name Homo sapiens (human). RNAcentral describes it as "HSALNT0318258". Lineage: Eukaryota; Metazoa; Chordata; Mammalia; Primates; Hominidae. The record is from RNAcentral.